CACACAGUAAACUAUGAAUACUCGCUGUUUGCGAUACACAGUAAGCGGCUAAGCGAAAGCAUUAAGUAUUCCACCUGGGGAGUACGUCGGCAACGAUGAAACUCAAAGGAAUUGACGGGGGCCCGCACAAGCGGAGGAACAUGUGGUUUAAUUCGAUGAUACGCGAGGAACCUUACCUGGGCUUGAAUUGCAACUGACAGCUUUUGAAAGAGAGUUUUUCUUCGGAACAGUUGUGAAGGUGC
Molecule: ribosomal RNA, 242 nt
Filed under: uncultured Bacteroides sp.
Lineage: Bacteria; Pseudomonadati; Bacteroidota; Bacteroidia; Bacteroidales; Bacteroidaceae
Description: partial 16S ribosomal RNA
Rfam family: Bacterial small subunit ribosomal RNA
Source: RNAcentral